GACUAAGCGUACACGGUGGAUGCCCUGGCAGUCAGAGGCGAUGAAGGACGUGCUAAUCUGCGAUAAGCGUACGGUAAGGUGAUAUGAACCGUUAUAACCGGCGAUUUCCGAAUGGGGAAACCCAGUGUGUUUCGACACACUAUCAUUAACUGAAUCCAUAGGUUAAUGAGGCGAACCGGGGGAACUGAAACAUCUAAGUACCCCGAGGAAAAGAAAUCAACCGAGAUUCCCCCAGUAGCGGCGAGCGAACGGGGAGCAGCCCAGAGCCUGAAUCAGUGUGUGUGUUAGUGGAAGCGUCUGGAAAGGCGUGCGAUACAGGGUGACAGCCCCGUACACAAAAAUGCACAUGCUGUGAGCUCGAUGAGUAGGGCGGGACACGUGGUAUCCUGUCUGAAUAUGGGGGGACCAUCCUCCAAGGCUAAAUACUCCUGACUGACCGAUAGUGAACCAGUACCGUGAGGGAAAGGCGAAAAGAACCCCGGCGAGGGGAGUGAAAAAGAACCUGAAACCGUGUACGUACAAGCAGUGGGAGCCUCUUUAUGGGGUGACUGCGUACCUUUUGUAUAAUGGGUCAGCGACUUAUAUUCUGU
Molecule: ribosomal RNA, 590 nt
Filed under: Escherichia sp. E5028
Lineage: Bacteria; Pseudomonadati; Pseudomonadota; Gammaproteobacteria; Enterobacterales; Enterobacteriaceae
Description: partial 23S ribosomal RNA
Rfam family: Bacterial large subunit ribosomal RNA
Source: RNAcentral